This is a long non-coding RNA of Lagopus muta (rock ptarmigan), 2773 nucleotides long. RefSeq lists it as uncharacterized. The record is from RefSeq and is a predicted model, not a curated record. The transcript has 5 exons. Lineage: Eukaryota; Metazoa; Chordata; Aves; Galliformes; Phasianidae.
UAGACCUGGACUGGCUUUGUUCUUUUGCCAGGUGCAUGCUCUGCUUUACAGAAAUCCCUCUUUUACAGUUAGGGAAAAGUGUGUGCUCUCUGUGCUCUGAAAUCCUAGUGUAAGUAGAGACCAGCUAUUUUUCUAUUGUUGUAACAAGCCAGCACAGUGCCUCCAUUUCCUGAUGAAAGUUGAUUGAGCUACAAUUUCCAGCUAGGAUUUCAAGGGAAGAUUAAGUAUGAAUUCUCUUAUCUGCGACUACAUAAGUCUAGGGUAACUCCAUUGAAGUUGGUGGACAUGAUGAGACAGAAGUAUUAAUGACAUAAUGCUGAUGGUAUGAGUGUUCUUCAUUCCUGAGCUGAUCCUGUUUGUUUAAAAACUGCAUUCAACUACAGCAUUACAAGUCUCCAAUAAUGGAUAGAGAAAUUUUCUCUGCCCAUCCAAAGCUGCAUUUGCAAAGGCAACUCUGUUUUUUUCCUGGCAAAUCUGAUCUGCAUUACCACAGCAGCUUUCUCAGUUACGCCAAUGGGAUUGCUCUGAAUUUUAAGAGAUCCAAAUUUGGGUGUGGAUGAGUAAGCAGAUGCAGUAUGCAGAUACUGUGCUUGUGACUUCAACAGCAGGUUGCAGAAAAAGAAGAAUAUCUGAUCAACUGCCCUGUCCCAAACUUGCCACGGGAAAUGUUGCUUCUGGUAUGAUGGGGCUUGACAGAUGUCUAUCUGAUCUUUGUGCAUUACUACUCAAAUAUCCUUGAAAUUUUCAAAAUACUUUUCAAAAGCUUUAAGAAACAACACAAAAUGUUUGAUAAAGUGACAUUAUUUUAUAAUAUACAGAAUAACUGAGAUAGUGACAUGAAACAAGAGCCUACAGUAUGUUUAAUUUUUUCUUGAAAAUUUGAUUUUUCAGAUUGUAAAAAUUCAACCUGUUUCCCAGGAAGAAACAGAACAAAAUAUUUCUUGUAUUGGCUACACAGAACUUAAAAAGCAAAGCACAGUAGCGAGGGUCCAUAUCCAACUUUACAUUAUACAUUCUUCAUUUUUCAGGACCUGGCUCUGUAGUUUCUUUGUAUCUAGACAAUCGCAGUAAAUCAGCUGCUGGUUUUGUGCACCUCCCUCCAUCCCCUAAUUAUGUGGCUGCUGCUCAGACCCUUCACAUAAUCAAAAAUUUUCUAAGCCUAGCUGGAGUCUUGUCUUCACACGUGGGGUGGUUCUGUCUUGUAUAGUAACGCAUGGAAGCAUCUAGAUUAGCCAUUUUACCUCUGAGGAGCUCAAGCUCCCUUUACAAUGUCAGCACUCAUCUUCAUUUUGCAUCCUAGAAGUCUCAAAACACAGCAAGCCUAAGAAAAUAUCUUAGUAUUGUCCCAUGAGAAUGGUAAAAACCAAAAAAGUAUUUUCUUUCUACAUCAAACCGUUUACUUUUUGAAUUCAAAAUACAAACUCUUUUUAAUGACGGUGAAGGAGAUGUUAUAACUCAAAGCUUAACUUUCUGUAACUUGGAAGUUGAUGCUAUUUGUCUUUGGGCCCACCGGGAGCUAAGGAGAUAUCUAGUGAUGUGUUUACUCAUACCUCACUCCUCAUGUGAUUUUUCUAGCUAAAUUCACAAAAGAAAAUUUUCAUUCAGGAUAUAUUUAUUUAAAUACCAAGUAAGAAAAAUAUACCUUUACUACUCUUUCUGUCAUGUUGACCAAUGGGCUUAAAGUGGUUGGGGUAGGAGGGGCGAACCAUAAUUUUCUUCUUUAAAUCACUGUGAAACUUCUGUAGAGUAAAGCUGAAGAGUAAUUUUAAUCUGAAUAGCAAGGCGUAUAUUGAAAAUGAUAGUGCUUGUGGGUUUGAUAUACAUGGAUAAUUUUUCUUCUAAUAUAUAUUUAGAGGCAUAUGAUUUCUCCUACCCUCUUAGAGAUCAGUGUGAACAAAUUAUGGGUAGAAUAAGAAUUUUAAUGAAUUCAUGUUUAGCUUUGCUAAAAGCCCUACGUAUUUUUCCAUUAUUCAUCUUUCCCUCUCAAUCCUUUUCUAUUUGGACCAAAUCUUUUGUAAAGAAACUUCCUAGCAUGCUCCAUACAUCCUGCUUAAUUGUUUGAUUUAUUAGGUAGGAUAGAUCUUUAAGUUGAAAGCAUCCCAAACAGUGGUUACUUGGUGAGAUCACUAAAGAUUUGGGGAUUGACAUCACACAUUUGAUGAAAAAGUGUUCAGGCAGGGUUUUAAAAGCAAACAGUGUCAACUCAGAGCCAGCACUCUUUGCACAGUUUGAACUUAGAUAUGUAAUAACAGCAAAAAAAACAGAAGUAUGAAAGAUUACUGGCUUUCUAAGCUGAAUGAGGUAAAGUAGCAUUGAUGCAGUGAGAGUUGUCUGAAAGAAUGGUUACAGCAAAUCUGAACUUUUGGUGAUCCCUCUGUGGAGAAGAUAUUUGAUGCCUUUAUUUAAAAUCAUAAAUUCUAGAGAAUCUACAUAGAUAUGGCUAAACACAUCUAAACUGACUGAACAUAUGAUAACAUGGCAAUGUAUAAGCUUUAUUUCCCAAUGUUGACAUAUAAAUAUUUUUUUUCCAGAUCACUUUCAAACAGUUGCAUAGUCUAUUUAAAUGUGUAUAAUAGACUUGAAAUAAUCACGUUCAUUCAAAUAUUGAGGUUGUGAUUUAGCAGAAAGAAAAAUGCUAUUCCUGGACUUCAGUAGAAAAAAGUUACAGAAAGAGGACGGCUUGUGGUGGUCAAUAAAUUGUAAGUGCACAUUCCAUUAAAAAGUGUUUAUAUAAUUGUUGUUUUGUAAUAAAAUUAAUAAGAACCCUGUGGUG